CCUAGGGGAGGCAGCAGUGGGGAAUAUUGGGCAAUGGGCGAAAGCCUGACCCAGCAACGCCGCGUGAGGGAAGAAGGUCUUCGGAUUGUAAACCUCUGUCCUAUGGGACGAAACAAAUGACGGUACCAUAGGAGGAAGCCCCGGCUAACUACGUGCCAGCAGCCGCGGUAAUACGUAGGGGGCAAGCGUUGUCCGGAAUUACUGGGCGUAAAGGGUGCGUAGGCGGUUGCCUAAGUCAGAUGUGAAAUCCCCGGGCUUAACUCGGGUGGUGCAUUUGAAACUGGGUGGCUAGAGUGCAGGAGAGGGAAGCGGAAUUCCUAGUGUAGCGGUGAAAUGCGUAGAUAUUAGGAGGAACACCAGUGGCGAAGGCGGCUUUCUGGACUGUAACUGACGCUGAGGCACGAAAGCGUGGGGAGCAAACA
This 422-nucleotide ribosomal RNA is filed under the name uncultured prokaryote. RNAcentral's name for it is "bacterial SSU rRNA". It matches the Rfam family "Bacterial small subunit ribosomal RNA", at positions 338 to 774 of the family's 1533-position model. The record is from RNAcentral.